Long non-coding RNA from Equus caballus (horse), 1663 nucleotides. RefSeq lists it as uncharacterized. Lineage: Eukaryota; Metazoa; Chordata; Mammalia; Perissodactyla; Equidae. The record is from RefSeq and is a predicted model, not a curated record.
CCAUUGCUUUAUUCCCCUUCAUUUAGCCUCCAAGGAUCUGGUUCAGCGCAUUGCCAUUUCCACAAGUUAAAACUUGGUGAGGAUUCUCUGGUGUCUUUGUUUCCUUUGUAACUUGGGAUGACACACUUGUUUUUGUCAGCUUUCCCAAGAACGGCGUUGUCCUUCUGUCAGUGGAAGAACAGCGAGCUUGGCAAAAUACUGCGAAAGCUAAAUUUUGAAAAUCAUUUGUCUGUCAGUGGAUUCUCUAGGGCAUGCCCUGGGUCCUGUCCCCCACUCUGAAGACCACUGGCCGGGCCACUCUGAGCCCGCGAUUCUGAUCCUCAGGCUGCAGUGGAAUUUGGGGCUGUGUUCUUGCAAAGCUGCCCCGCAGGCUGUUCUGAUGCACAACCAGGUCUGAGAACCGAUUUGAAUUCUAUUCACAGCAGAUUCUAACACUAACGUUUCCAUUCCUCGGGAAAGAACUCUUCGGCUGCUUUCAACAUUAUGGAAAGAUGAAAAAAGCAUCAUCACCUACCAAAGCUAGGAUAAUUUUCACAAAAUAUUUUUUUUCUUGCCUUUUUAAAAAAUAACAUUUUUAUGCUGCUGACUGAAAUUGUUUGGUGGAGAAGCACAGGGGAAUUUCUCAUUGGCUUAGCUGAGUUUCUAACAUCCCUUGCUAAUUUUGGCUUAAUGGUCUGCUUGAUUGCUGAUGGAAGAAGGCUUGUGUUCAUCUAACUUAAAUCUUUUGAUUAUGAAGAUGGCGGCCAAUGGGGCUUUUAUUGCCUCUGCCAGCACUUGACGUGGACUGUCUCUGCGAAGGGUCUAGCAACACCCAGGGGGAUACAUGAGUAAAGAAACCACGUUAAUACACGGAUACCGCUGUUGUGAUGGUUCCCUAGAAAGCAGCUCUCAGAGCAGAACACCUCCAAGGAGUCAGCAAAUACAUCCGAAACUUGGGCUGGCCCUGAGUGAGGAGAGCAGCUCUCUCCCUGGACUUGACCUUGUCCUUCGUUCUUCGUCAGAGUGACCUCCUCCCGCUCCCACAGCAUAUCCUCACCGUCUUACUCAGAUGCCACAACUACCUUUAGCCCUUCAUCAGGAACGCUGAGCAGGAGGUCCAGAUGACAAAAGAUUCAUCAUGACUUUUGCUCCUUUUGGGAAAUCAUUCGGAGAUUUUUUUCUUCCCCCGCAAAACAGAUGCUCUUUCCCCAACCAAAUCCCCAAGCUGACAGAUGCAUAUUUGUGAGUAAAUGUAACUAGGGCAUCUGUGAAGGCACAUUUCCAUAUCUAAAUAUUUAUUGGGACAGAGGGGAGCAGUGGAAAGAAUAGAGUGAAGGGAACAAUGAAAUGCCUCAGGAAUUAUAACUUUUUAAAAAAAAAAUUGCUCUGCCUGGUUGUAUUGUAUCAGCAACUUUCAGGUCUUGAUUUUUAUAGAUGUGGAUUUUUAUAGACGCACACAGGAACAUCUCUGCGUUUGAUAUGUACACAUUGGUGACUGUAGGAAGACACAGAUGGUCUUAUAUGAGGUAUGGGGGCACUAAAGUCGUUAUCAAUGGGGAUCAAGAGGAGAUUAAGCUACACAGAAGCUCAACAAACAAAGCCAAGGAAAUAAAAUAACGAGAAGUCUCUAAAAUCUAAUUAUAAAAUAAUCCUUUAUCUUGAAAAUAAAACAGUGGUUUCUUUA